Molecule: ribosomal RNA, 467 nt
Filed under: Acinetobacter sp. DD77
Lineage: Bacteria; Pseudomonadati; Pseudomonadota; Gammaproteobacteria; Moraxellales; Moraxellaceae
Description: bacterial SSU rRNA
Rfam family: Bacterial small subunit ribosomal RNA
Source: RNAcentral
GAUGAACGCUGGCGGCAGGCUUAACACAUGCAAGUCGAGCGGAGUGAUGGUGCUUGCACUAUCACUUAGCGGCGGACGGGUGAGUAAUGCUUAGGAAUCUGCCUAUUAGUGGGGGACAACAUUUCGAAAGGAAUGCUAAUACCGCAUACGUCCUACGGGAGAAAGCAGGGGAUCUUCGGACCUUGCGCUAAUAGAUGAGCCUAAGUCGGAUUAGCUAGUUGGUGGGGUAAAGGCCUACCAAGGCGACGAUCUGUAGCGGGUCUGAGAGGAUGAUCCGCCACACUGGGACUGAGACACGGCCCAGACUCCUACGGGAGGCAGCAGUGGGGAAUAUUGGACAAUGGGCGCAAGCCUGAUCCAGCCAUGCCGCGUGUGUGAAGAAGGCCUUAUGGUUGUAAAGCACUUUAAGCGAGGAGGAGGCUACUGAAGUUAAUACCUUCAGAUAGUGGACGUACUCGCAGAAAAGC